CUGGCUAACAUUAAUUUACCUUGAUUUGAAAUUUGGGCAGUCUGUUCCCUUGGUCUUGUGGAAGACUCCUCCGUGUGCUGAUUCCACCGUGCCAUCAUUAGAAACAGCACGACUUGUGCAGCAAGUAGCUCAGCAAGAGUCAGAUCAAGGUCCUGGUUCUGGAAAACAUCUUGGGAAAGCACUUCGGUAUGUGCUGACGCUUGGACCUGGGUGCGAACCCCGUGCAGGCCAGUGAAACUCAAGCACGUGCUUACAGAUAAGCAUGAAUGCACUCAAGUGCUGUCCUGAUUAGGGCAUAUGCUUAAGUGGCUCCUUGAGCUGGAGCCUCUGGCUUUGAACAGGCACUCCUAUUCUUCGCGUGUUAUGCAGAAGGAGCUAACCAAAUACUAGCUUGUUUUCAAUAGCACUGACCAGAACCACCCCAAGCGCCAGGGCAGCAGACAUAAGCAGGAAAAUUGACUCUGAUCAUCCCUGGGGUCAUUUAACUAAAACACACAUUUCAGUCGAGCCAAGUGUUCGCCAGCGCUUUUCAACUCCCCUGGUGUCAAAACAAUUAGCAGAUCACAGCAGCAGCGAUUUGCUGGUGCUCCAAUGAAAGCAUCUGGCCAGCACGUGGCUAUCUGACACGAGCACAGCGCCAGCUCCUCCACGCGCCGUCCACUGCCCGCAGGACAGUGCAGUGCGGGUGACU
Long non-coding RNA from Oxyura jamaicensis (ruddy duck), 691 nucleotides. RefSeq lists it as uncharacterized. Lineage: Eukaryota; Metazoa; Chordata; Aves; Anseriformes; Anatidae. The record is from RefSeq and is a predicted model, not a curated record. The transcript has 2 exons.